CCUACGGGUGGCUGCAGUGAGGAAUAUUGGUCAAUGGGCGCGAGCCUGAACCAGCCAAGUAGCGUGAAGGAUGACUGCCCGAUGGGUUGUAAACUUCUUUUAUAUGGGAAUAAAGUGCAGUAUGUAUACUGCUUUGCAUGUACCUUAUGAAUAAGGAUCGGCUAACUCCGUGCCAGCAGCCGCGGUAAUACGGAGGAGCCGAGCGUUAUCCGGAUUUAGUGGGGUGAAAGGGAGCGUAGGCGGGUUGUUAAGUCAGUUGUGAAAGUUUGCGGCUCAACCGUAAAAUUGCAGUUGAUACUGGCAUCCUUGAGUACAGUAGAGGUAGGCGGAAUUCGUGGUGUCGCGGUGAAAUGCUUAGAUAUCACUCAGACCACCGAUUGCGAAGGCAUCUCACUAAUCCGCGAUUGACGCUGAUGCACGAAAGCGUGGGUAUCAAACAGGAUUAGAUACCCUUGUAGUC
RNAcentral lists this ribosomal RNA (460 nucleotides) under uncultured bacterium. RNAcentral's name for it is "partial 16S ribosomal RNA". It matches the Rfam family "Bacterial small subunit ribosomal RNA", at positions 338 to 795 of the family's 1533-position model. The record is from RNAcentral.